UGGGGAAUUUUGCGCAAUGGGGGAAACCCUGACGCAGCAACGCCGCGUGAGUGAUGAAGGCCUUCGGGUCGUAAAGCUCUGUCAGAGGGGAAGAAAUGCAGGGGUGCUAAUAUCAUCUUUGCUUGACGGUACCCUCAAAGGAAGCACCGGCUAACUCCGUGCCAGCAGCCGCGGUACUACGGAGGGUGCGGGCGUUGUUCGGAAUUAUUGGGCGUAAAGCGCGUGUAGGCGGUUUGGUAAGUCUGAUGUGAAAGCCCCGGGCUCAACCUGGGAAGUGCAUUGGAAACUGUCAGACUUGAAUACGGGAGAGGUUAGUGGAAUUCCUAGUGUAGGAGUGAAAUCCGUAGAUAUUAGGAGGAACACCGGUGGCGAAGGCGGCUACCUGGACCGAUAUUGACGCUGAGACGCGAAAGCGUGGGGAGCAAACA
Molecule: ribosomal RNA, 428 nt
Filed under: uncultured prokaryote
Description: bacterial SSU rRNA
Rfam family: Bacterial small subunit ribosomal RNA
Source: RNAcentral